RNAcentral lists this ribosomal RNA (255 nucleotides) under uncultured bacterium. Its description in RNAcentral is "partial 16S ribosomal RNA". It matches the Rfam family "Bacterial small subunit ribosomal RNA", at positions 526 to 779 of the family's 1533-position model. The record is from RNAcentral.
CGUAGGGGCGAGCGUUAUCCGGAAUCACUGGGCGUAAAAGGGCGUCUAGGCGGCCCGCCAAGUCUCGUGUGAAAUCUCCCGGCUCAACUGGGAGGGUGCACGGGAAACUGGCGGGCUUGAGACACGGAGGGGGGUGCGGAAUUCCCGGUGGAGCGGUGGAAUGCGUUGAGAAUCGGGAGGAACACCUGAGGCGAAGGCGGCACCCUGGCCGAAGUCUGACGCUGAAGCGCGACAGCGUGGGGAGCGAACGGGAUU